AGCAGCCGCGGUAAUUCCAGCUCCAAUAGCGUAUAUUAAAGUUGUUGCAGUUAAAAAGCUCGUAGUUGAAUUUCAGGCCUGGCUGGACGGUCCGCCCUUCGGGUGAGUACUGUCUGUGGUCGGGUCCUACCUUCUGGCGAAGCGUCAUGGCCUUAACCGGCCGUGGCGGGGAACCAGGACUUUACUGUGAAAAAUUAGAGUGUUCAAAGCAGGCAAAUCGCUUGGAUACAUUAGCAUGGAAUAAUGGAAUAGGACGAUGGUUCUAUUUGUUGGUUUCUAGGACCGUUGUAAUGAUUAAUAGGGAUAGUUGGGGGCAUUAGUAUUCAAUUGUCAGAGGUGAAAUUCUUGGAUUUAUUGAAGACUAACUACUGCGAAAGCAUUUGCCAAGGAUGUUUUCAUUAAUCAAGAACGAAAGUUAGGGGUAUCGAAGACGAUCAGAUACCGUCGUAGUCUUAACCAUAAACUAUGCCGACUAGGAAUCGGGCGAUGUUGACAAAAUGACGCGCUCGGCACCUCAUGG
This 520-nucleotide ribosomal RNA is filed under the name uncultured Paraglomus. RNAcentral describes it as "SSU rRNA". It matches the Rfam family "Eukaryotic small subunit ribosomal RNA", at positions 569 to 1093 of the family's 1831-position model. The record is from RNAcentral. Lineage: Eukaryota; Fungi; Glomeromycota; Glomeromycetes; Paraglomerales; Paraglomeraceae.